RNAcentral lists this long non-coding RNA (2145 nucleotides) under Daphnia pulex (common water flea). Its description in RNAcentral is "uncharacterized LOC124204880, transcript variant X1". Lineage: Eukaryota; Metazoa; Arthropoda; Branchiopoda; Diplostraca; Daphniidae. The record is from RNAcentral.
UGGUCGUUGGUUGUCUCCACCUAGCGUUAAGAAUUGUAAACUCUUCUUUGGAUUAAGAAAGGAAACAAACAGAAUGCGAAUCACAAUAACAACGUCAGGAAAGUGUUCAGUGAUGAAACUCAUUAACUCAAAUCUUGCAGCAAAAGAAAUUCGUUUUUCAGUGAGAAAAGGUUUUUACCCCUGCUGCAACAGAAUGUGGAGCAAUUUGUGACACAUGGUGUUAGGAAUACCACAAUAUCUUCAAUAAUUUUCUCGCUGUUGAAGAUUUUUGGGAGUGUGAGCUCAACCAACUUGUAUACUGUGUACAUCCGUUCCCCAAAUUCUUUCGAAUGGUAUUUUUAUUAUCACCCUGGCAUUAAUUAAUCGUAUUCACUGCUUGGACUUGUGGAUCUUGAAACUCAAAGUGCCGCAGACCUUCUCUGCAUUCCACACAUAUUUCCUUUCUUCGAUGACCAUUAGAAGAAAACCGGAUGUGACAGGUGUAGAGAACUUGAUGUCAUCACAAUUUCACUGAUAAGCUAAAUGGAGCAGUAGUAAUUCAUUUGCUAUAAAUUGUAAUUUUAUUUUCAUGACUACCUGCAGCUUUUUUUCAAUUCCUCUAAUACAGCGAAAUAUUUUUCGUCAAAGUUAGCAAAAAUGUGACGAGCUCUUACUUUGGGGUAUGGCAAGGAAGUCUCACGGACUAAUGUCCCUAUCCCUCUGUGGUGUUUUUCCGUCCUCAAAGCAACAUUGCAGUUCAUGGCAGAAUAGGUGAUCCCCGUUUGGAGAAUUUUUUCAACACCAAAUAUCGCAGCCCUCGCAUUCAUGUAUUGUAGUUAUGCCUCCGUUGGCUUGACGAAGUGCACUGAAUUUUGCUCCAGGUUGUCACUAUUAAAUUUACGAGUAAGUACAAACUGAAAUCCCACUUAAAGUAAAUGUUCGAUUUUGGCAAUUGUAGAUUUAGUAGUUAUUACGAUGGCCUCGUACAUUUCAUCAGAAAGAAAAUGAUUUUUUUCUUCAGCGUUCAUCUUCCAUUUUUCUAACCAUUUGAUGAAAUCUCGCAGCCACUGCAGUCGAAGAUCAUAUUUUGAGGUGAAUGGUGCUUUAUUUGGUAGGCGCUUGUGAAUUGCUUGCGUAACAUUGCAUAUAACAUGUAUUUCAAACCAUUUUAUGAUUUUUAUGAGGAAUGAAAUAGUUUCUUCACUGCCCAAGAAUCCGGACACCUUUAACCGGCGAUACGAUUCUAAAGUUUUUAGCCAUCGGACGGCUAAAAAUAUCCAGCGCCCGUUGCUCGUUUUUGUCUCUCGAUUUUGGUAGGCUCCAGGUGUCUUUGGUUUGUUUGCUAGUUUACCGACUUCUUUUGGCUGUACCACUCGUCUGGCUUGAUCGCCACCUCAUCCACAACAAUAUCCUUUAAAGCCAAAUCAGUGAGCCUGACGUCCACCGUUGAGGAUCCAGUGUAUCGUCGCAGCGUCUUGUGAGAAAAGGGCGAAGUACCUGCUGCUGUAACCGCAAAAGAUUGUACUUCAGCUCAGUUUUCACAUGGGAUUCAUCAUUAUCAGCGGAUAAGUCGCUUGCUGCAUCAACGGAUAAGUCGCUCGCUUCAUCAGCGGAAAAGUCGGUUGCUUCCAUCGUACUUGGAUCAUGUUCAGAAUCGGAAUCGUCCGACUACGAUUCUGAUUCAGCAUCGCAAUCCCAUGAGGAGCUACUACCCUCCAAAAAGGAUUCGGUAUCGUCGUCGUCAUUGACAGCAGACUUAUUUAUUAGACUUGAUUUAUAGAUAUAUUAUUUUUUUGAUUUAUUAGACUAUAGCUAAUUUUUAUAAUCAACUUAUUAAAUUUAAAAAAAAAAUUGUUGGCCGACGUAAGAAUCGUCAAAGUGUCCCGUCCUCUAGCUUAAGUAGUCCAUGACCAAAGUUGCAAGUCUUCCUGUCAGUGAAUAUCUAUGGUGUCUUUCUCUGUGUGUAUCUGAACUUCAAGCUGACAGGUUACAUAUAAUUUAAGUAAUAAAGACUACUGUUGAAAGAAAACACUCCGCGGUUUAUUCCUUUCAACAGCAUUUGUAUUUGUAAUAUUAUUUUAAAUUUAAUAUUGUCUUGAGUGUUAGCCAACCUUUUGGACUUUACCAACAACUGUGGGUUCAUCGGAUUCAUCAAGAUCGCAUUAA